This 253-nucleotide ribosomal RNA is filed under the name uncultured bacterium. RNAcentral's name for it is "partial 16S ribosomal RNA". It matches the Rfam family "Bacterial small subunit ribosomal RNA", at positions 524 to 776 of the family's 1533-position model. The record is from RNAcentral.
UACGAAGGGGGCUAGCGUUGCUCGGAAUCACUGGGCGUAAAGGGUGCGUAGGUGGUGGGGUAAGUCGGAUGUGAAAUCCCGGGGCUCAACCCCGGAACUGCAUUCGAUACUGCCUUGCUCGAGUACUGGAGAGGAGACUGGAAUUUACGGUGUAGCAGUGAAAUGCGUAGAUAUCAUAAGGAAGACCAGUGGCGAAGGCGGGUCUCUGGACAGUUCCUGACGCUGAGGCACGAAGGUCAGGGGAGCAAACGGG